Molecule: long non-coding RNA, 2556 nt
Organism: Marmota monax (woodchuck)
Lineage: Eukaryota; Metazoa; Chordata; Mammalia; Rodentia; Sciuridae
Exons: 3
Source: RefSeq, a predicted model, not a curated record
UGUCCCCUUCCCCUUCCUGGGCCCCUCCUUCGGGCUGCAUGGCCCAGUCUGGUGUCUAAUGCCAGGCUGGGGCAAACAAGAGCUGGCUCACUCUCUCGCCUCAAGGGAGGCCCUCCCCUGGCCCGUCUGCAAAGGGCCAGUUUCGGCCGCCCAGGCAUUCAGUUACCUUCAUUAGAAUGGGCCCCAGCAAGCUGGCCGCCUCUGACCGCCACUGAGGGCAGGGCUGAUUCUAUCACAGCAGGGGUGGAAGAAAAGCAAGAGUGUAAAAGAGCUGCCUUUGCCUGGCUGCUGAGAUGGAGAGAGGGCGGGAGGGUGCGAUGUGCCCUUGCCCUUCAUAGGCUUCAACAGCCUGGCUCAGUGCAGAGGAAUCUGAGGUGAGAAAACAACAGCACUGAUGGGUGAAGAAAUGUAUCCAGGUCAUACAACUAGAAGUGGUAGACACAGAAUUUGGUCCCCAGACUCCUGAGUCCAGGGUCCGUGGGCUGCAUAGAGAUGAGACAUCCUCUCUGCCCCCUUCACCUGAGACCUGCUACUGUCAGGUGCGCCAGGUAAGUGAUGCUAUAAAGCAGACUAGUCAGGGGCUGGCUGAGUGGUGAAUUCAGAUGCAGGACUGGAGAGGAGAGGCCCAGAGUACAGGCCUGGGCUUUGGGACCAAAGGGAAGAGUCCACAGCAGUUCUAGAACUUUGGUCAGGUGAGCUUGCUAAGGAUGCAGAUUCCUAGGUGUAUCCCAGAUCCUGAGCUGGUCCAUGGGGCCCAGGAACCACCUUAGCAUGGACACACCAGCUGAGGGACAAGGAUGGUAGGCACCACUCUCAAUUCCUUCCUGGCGAGAGCAGUCAGAGGAGCCAGGGCUAAGACUUGGACCUGAAGGAAAGAGCCAGGUUCUGGUACAGCCCUAAGGCAGGCUUGGGGAAUCCUGGGCCUCUGUAACCUGUCUCCCUAUAUCUGAGAUGGAAGGGUUAAAAUAAAGAGUCCCGUCCACUGCCUCCAUCCUCAGGUCCUGGCUGAGACCUCCUCACUCCCUGUCUGCUCCCUGUAACCAGGCAGCAGUGCUGAUCUCUCUCUUUGAUUAUGGGCUCCCAGAGGGAGGAAUAAAAAUAAAAUAGCCAUGACAGGAACAGCUGCUCUGUCAGGAGUGGGCCCACGGGGUGGGAGGGGUGCCACCAACUAUGGCUGGCAUGGCCAACUUCUGCUGCUGUCUCAGCCUAAGAAGGCUGGGAAUACCCCACACCAUGACGCAGGUCUCCUCCCAGCCAGACUGAAGCACACACGUGGAUUACCAUGGAGCCCGUGGGUGGGUCUGGCAGGAGAGGAAUGCAUGGGAGAAAAGAAAGUGCCUCACUGGAGCUUUCCCGGGACUCCUAACGCUUCCCUGCCAAUUUCCAAACGGAUGCUUCUGGCCCUCCUAAUGUUCACCCAUCCGUGCAGCUGGCCACGCAUUAAAGCCACCUGGGGAGUCUUUCAAACACCCAAGGACUAGGUCAAACUACAGACCAAUUAAGUCAGGACCUGGGUCACAGAAUUUUUUAAGGCUCCUCAUGUGAUUCCAGCACGUGGCCAAGGUCCAGACCCAGGACGUGACAUACAAACAAAUGUGCCUGGUCCUAACUUUAAUGAGCAUGUGAAUGAAUCACCUGGGAUAUUUUAAAAUGCAGAUUCUGAUUCUGUGGGAGUGUGUUUAGCUUCUCAUUCUGCUUUUUGAAUCCACUCCCAGGCCUUCCAUGGCUGACACAUGCAUGGGGAUGUGAGCCACAUGAGGAAUGGCAAGGACCUUGAAGGUCCCUAACACGAUGAGCUGAAAGGGGAGAAAUGGUUCCCCGGACAAGCCUGUGUGCAAAUGCACAUAAUCUCCUUGUCCGCCUGACAGUGCCAAGGGGUUUGGCCCAACAGAGCUCUGAGAAGUCCUGCACUGUGGAAACCCACGGAGUUCUGUCUGGCCAUAGAAGUACCAGCAGGCCCCCCAAGUGCUAGCAAGAGCCCAUGCCACACUGUGGUCCUUAGCUAUGCAAUUUGGGGAUUGGCCAAGGGUCAUUGGGUGGAUGGAGGUGUGGACGGUGGAUGAUGUCUGAGCCAAAGGCUAGGCCUGGUCUUGCGGGGGGAGGGCUUUGCUACCUGGCCAGUGUAGCAGGGGUCUGUCUGCUUCAUGCUUUGGACUCAAGCCUUGCUGUUCUGCCCCUGCACUGAUGUUAAAACUGAUGGUUUUUCCUUUUCUCUUCUCACUCUCCUCCUCCCUAACCUUGGGGGGGAGGGGAAGAAAGAUCACCCUUCCUCCCAAACUAGACCAAGUUAUCUGUCCUUAAGUAAACACACACCACAGGAAUGAAGUAAUUCAGACUUCAGAGAUGGCGCCAGAAGAUCUAAGAAACAGCUAUCUCUCAGGGCCACAAGUGAAUUACGACCCCUGACACAGCACACCUGGAAUGUAGCCUUUGCAUCAUUUCUUUAAAAGCCCUCUGUUCCCCCUGAUGGUCAGAAUCACAGACUCUGGGACAAGAGGCUCCCAUGUUUCACUUUGGCUAGCAAAGCAAUAAAACUCCUUUUCCUUUUUCUCAAAA